Salvia splendens (bonfire salvia) is the source of this 638-nucleotide long non-coding RNA. RefSeq lists it as uncharacterized. NCBI's taxonomy places the organism in Eukaryota, Viridiplantae, Streptophyta, Magnoliopsida, Lamiales, Lamiaceae. The record is from RefSeq and is a predicted model, not a curated record. The transcript is spliced from 2 exons.
ACCUAAAAACUCCCAUUCCCAGAUUUAUUUACACCUACCGUUUCCUUUCUCCUCCGUCGCAUUUCUUCAAGAACACUCAAAUUGAACUCAAUCAUACAGAAAUUUAUCGGCCCUCUCAAAAAUCAAAACACAAAAAUUGAUCAAAAAUCAAAACACAAAAACUGAACAGAAAUUAGAGCUCCCUCCCUCAAGCUCUUGUCGGCCCCAUUCUCUCACAAAACAUCGAAAAUGAGAUUCCCAAAAUUAAAUCAUGUCUCGCUAUGAAAUCUCUAAUCCCGUCGGCGUCAUACCUCCUCGGUUUUUCUCUCUCUGUCACGCAGCACCUCGGCUCCAAUUCAUCGCCCGCACACACCGCCGUAGUCCCUGAAACUAGCCCCGAAACGACACCACGCAGCCACAAAACCAACCCGAACACCCAAGAUUACGGAGGAGAAAAAUCUCAUUACGGAGGAGGAAAAUCUCUACAGAAACUUUAAUUAAAACCUGAAUUAAUGCAGCUUAGUGACCAAGUCAACAUGUCGAAAUUAAUUAGAUUAGUUUAAUUCAAGGUCCUUUGUAUUUUAUUUAAAUUGUGCACUCCACAAUUUAUUUGUCACGGACUGAAUUUUUAUAUUAUUUAUUCAAUUUAUUCGAUCCAA